AUUGAACGCUGGCGGCAGGCCUAACACAUGCAAGUCGAGCGGUAGAGAGGUGCUUGCAUCUCUUGAGAGCGGCGGACGGGUGAGUAAUGCCUAGGAAUCUGCCUAGUGGUGGGGGGAUAACGUUCGGAAACGGACGCUAAUACCGCAUACGUCCUACGGGAGAAAGCGGGGGAUCUUCGGACCUCGCGCCAUUAGAUGAGCCUAGGUCGGAUUAGCUAGUUGGUGAGGUAAUGGCUCACCAAGGCGACGAUCCGUGACUGGUCUGAGAGGAUGAUCAGUCACACUGGAACUGAGACACGGUCCAGACUCCUACGGGAGGCAGCAGUGGGGAAUAUUGGACAAUGGGCGAAAGCCUGAUCCAGCAAUGCCGCGUGCAGGAUGAAGGCC
Molecule: ribosomal RNA, 387 nt
Filed under: uncultured bacterium
Lineage: Bacteria
Description: bacterial SSU rRNA
Rfam family: Bacterial small subunit ribosomal RNA
Source: RNAcentral